RNAcentral lists this ribosomal RNA (253 nucleotides) under uncultured bacterium. RNAcentral's name for it is "partial 16S ribosomal RNA". It matches the Rfam family "Bacterial small subunit ribosomal RNA", at positions 524 to 776 of the family's 1533-position model. The record is from RNAcentral.
UACAGAGGUCCCAAGCGUUGUUCGGAUUCACUGGGCGUAAAGGGUGCGUAGGUGGUGGGGUAAGUCUGAUGUGAAAUCUUCGAGCUUAACUCGGAAAUGGCAUUGGAUACUACUCUGCUAGGGGUUUGGAGGGGGGACUGGAAUUCUCGGUGUAGCAGUGAAAUGCGUAGAUAUCGAGAGGAACACCAGUGGCGAAGGCGAGUCCCUGGACAACACCUGACACUGAGGCACGAAAGCUAGGGGAGCAAACAGG